UCGAACGGUAACAGGAUGUGCUUGCUCAUCGCUGACGAGUGGCGGACGGGUGAGUAAUGCUUGGGAACUUGCCUUUGCGAGGGGGAUAACAGUUGGAAACGACUGCUAAUACCGCAUAAUGUCUUCGGACCAAACGGGGCUUAGGCUCCGGCGCAAAGAGAGGCCCAAGUGAGAUUAGCUAGUUGGUAAGGUAAAGGCUUACCAAGGCAACGAUCUCUAGCUGUUCUGAGAGGAAGAUCAGCCACACUGGAACUGAGACACGGUCCAGACUCCUACGGGAGGCAGCAGUGGGGAAUAUUGCACAAUGGGGGAAACCCUGAUGCAGCCAUGCCGCGUGUGUGAAGAAGGCCUUCGGGUUGUAAAGCACUUUCAGUUGUGAGGAAAAGUUAGUAGUUAAUACCUGCUAGCCGUGACGUUAACAACAGAAGAAGCACCGGCUAACUCCGUGCCAGCAGCCGCGGUAAUACGGAGGGUGCGAGCGUUAAUCGGAAUUACUGGGCGUAAAGCGCACGCAGGCGGUUUGUUAAGCUAGAUGUGAAAGCCCCGGGCUCAACCUGGGAUGGUCAUUUAGAACUGGCAGACUAGAGUCUUGGAGAGGGGAGUGGAAUUCCAGGUGUAGCGGUGAAAUGCGUAGAUAUCUGGAGGAACAUCAGUGGCGAAGGCGACUCCCUGGCCAAAGACUGACGCUCAUGUGCGAAAGUGUGGGUAGCGAACAGGAUUAGAUACCCUGGUAGUCCACACCGUAAACGCUGUCUACUAGCUGUUUGUGACUUUAAGUCGUGAGUAGCGAAGCUAACGCGAUAAGUAGACCGCCUGGGGAGUACGGCCGCAAGGUUAAAACUCAAAUGAAUUGACGGGGGCCCGCACAAGCGGUGGAGCAUGUGGUUUAAUUCGAUGCAACGCGAAGAACCUUACCUACACUUGACAUGCUGAGAACUUU
RNAcentral lists this ribosomal RNA (940 nucleotides) under Alteromonas sp. RNAcentral's name for it is "bacterial SSU rRNA". It matches the Rfam family "Bacterial small subunit ribosomal RNA", at positions 62 to 999 of the family's 1533-position model. The record is from RNAcentral. Lineage: Bacteria; Pseudomonadati; Pseudomonadota; Gammaproteobacteria; Alteromonadales; Alteromonadaceae.